AUGCUAGCCGAGUCAGAGUCCAAGGACGACGUGCCAUGCAGUUGGUCCACUACCAACGACAACGAGGCAGGCCCCUCCCACUUUCCAGGGGUAAUCACCAUGUGCUCAUCGAACCUAGGCUUGGAUGACGACUUCGAAGGUGCAUCAUCAGGUGUUAAUGCAAGUAACACUGGGCAGCAACUGCCUUCCUGCAGAAAAGGCAAGGGUCCCGGGAAACAUGCCAAGUUGAAAGGCAACGACGGGGCUACUGGGUUGGGGAGAGUUCAGACACCAGUUGGCGUAUUUGAAGAUGAAUGUAUUUUCUGCCAUUCAUUCAGAACCAGUGAGCCGUGUCAUGGUCCGAUGGUACUGUAUCACGAUAGAAGGAUUAUGCCCAAUGACAAGGGAAACCCUACCAACGCCGUCUAUGUCCACGAGAAAUGCAUCGUUUGGGCCCCAAGAGUGCAAUCCAGUGGCAGUACUUUUAAGAACGUGGAGAAUGAAAUCAAUCGUGCUUCAAGAUGGGAAUGCAGCAGAUGCAACCUCCGGGGAGCAGCGCUUGGUUGUUAUUACGGCCACUGCCGCAAAACUUAUCAUGUCGCAUGUGCAAUGAUGAUACCAGAAUGCCGCUGGGAUGUUGAGGGUCUCCAUGUUUGGUGCCCCAAUCAUGCACCACAUGAUGAUAUGAGCUCACCAACGAUGGAGAGUGACAUCGUGCUUCAAGUAGAUCAGCUGAACACCUCAAGUUCUUCCUUGUCUCAGGGCCAAUGUUCAGAUAAAGAAAGAAUUUCUUCCAAUUACCGGAGAGAACAAAACCUACAAAAUCAGUCUAGCACCCUGGUGGAUCAAUGGGUUUUGCUUGGUAUAUCUUUAAGUGCAUCAGAAGAGGAUUCCUUGAAGGAAUUUGCGUCCUUGACCAAUUCAACCUUGGUUGAGGAUUGGGACAAAAAUGUGACUCAUGUUAUUGUGGGCAGAAACACAGAUACCGCAUGUGUGAGAUCAUAUGCGGUCCUGAUGGCGAUACUGUAUGGGAAAUGGAUUGUCAGAGCCGGAUGGAUUGUGGAUUUCUUGGUGCAACGAAUUCCACACCCGGAAACUCCUUACGAGAUGACAUUCUAUGGGGGUUUGCACACAUCAAUUUCUGGACCAACGAAAGGAAGAGCUAGAGCUGCUGAAGGGGAUUACAAUCUACUGGCAAGAGAUCCUCGAUACAUGGAGGGCCUCUCUGAAGCACCAAAACUGUUCUCAGGACUGAAUUUCUGCUUCAGCGCCUACCUGCACGUAGAAGACUUAGAGGACUUCCAGAAUCUCAUAGCAGCUGGUGGAGGGCAACCGAUGGAGGGAGUCAGCCCAGACUCGUUACCUGAGAUUAGGAACAGAUUUCCAGGGAAGGUGUACUUCAUCUACCACGGCGGACCUCCAAGGGACUCAACUCGGUAUUUCAAUUGUAUCCUAAAGAAGCAGAUAGAGGAGUGCGUCGAGUAUGGGAAAUCGGGAGCACAGGUGAUCAGCCACCUGAUGCUGUACGAUGCUAUCCUGUCCUAUGACGCGCGGAUCCUGGAACCUGGACGGUCUUUUCACGAAUAUAUGUGA
RNAcentral lists this ribosomal RNA (1572 nucleotides) under Triticum aestivum (bread wheat). RNAcentral's name for it is "partial small subunit ribosomal RNA". The record is from RNAcentral. Lineage: Eukaryota; Viridiplantae; Streptophyta; Magnoliopsida; Poales; Poaceae.